Molecule: transfer RNA, 73 nt
Filed under: Felis catus (domestic cat)
Lineage: Eukaryota; Metazoa; Chordata; Mammalia; Carnivora; Felidae
Rfam family: tRNA
About the family: Transfer RNA (tRNA) molecules are approximately 80 nucleotides in length. Their secondary structure includes four short double-helical elements and three loops (D, anti-codon, and T loops).
Source: Rfam by way of RNAcentral
ACCUGGCUGGCUCAAUCAGUAGAGCAUGUGACUGUUGAUCUCAGGGUUGUAAGUUUGAGCCCCAUGCUGGGUA